GAAUGCUGACAUAAGUAACGAUAAAGCGGGUGAAAAGCCCGCUCGCCGGAAGACCAAGGGUUCCUGUCCAACGUUAAUCGGGGCAGGGUGAGUCGACCCCUAAGGCGAGGCCGAAAGGCGUAGUCGAUGGGAAACGGGUUAAUAUUCCCGUACUUGGUGUUACUGCGAAGGGGGGACGGAGAAGGCUAUGUUGGCCGGGCGACGGUUGUCCCGGUUUAAGCGUGUAGGUGUGUGUUCCAGGUAAAUCCGGUUCACUUUAACACUGAGGCGUGAUGACGAGGCACUACGGUGCUGAAGCAACAAAUGCCCUGCUUCCAGGAAAAGCCUCU
RNAcentral lists this ribosomal RNA (329 nucleotides) under Salmonella enterica subsp. enterica serovar Derby. Its description in RNAcentral is "partial 23S ribosomal RNA". It matches the Rfam family "Bacterial large subunit ribosomal RNA", at positions 1292 to 1622 of the family's 2925-position model. The record is from RNAcentral. Lineage: Bacteria; Pseudomonadati; Pseudomonadota; Gammaproteobacteria; Enterobacterales; Enterobacteriaceae.